Magnolia sinica is the source of this 778-nucleotide long non-coding RNA. RefSeq lists it as uncharacterized. The transcript is spliced from 3 exons. The record is from RefSeq and is a predicted model, not a curated record. NCBI's taxonomy places the organism in Eukaryota, Viridiplantae, Streptophyta, Magnoliopsida, Magnoliales, Magnoliaceae.
UCAUAUCUGAAGUGUUUUUAUUGUUUCAUGAUCUAAUGAUUUAGCGCAGAUGUGAAAUAUUUUAGAUUGUUGGUGGAUCUGAACAUACUAUACAUGCAAAACUCACAUUCUCAUAAGAAUCAUAUGGUAUGACUAAGAUUCUAACCUAUGACUUUGCAAGAAAAUGUAUGAGUUAUAAGCUUUCAUAACACAUCUUGUUUAUUUUUUUAUUCAGUGUAAACAUUGGCUUGAUUCUUUGAAUUUUUAUUUUAUUUUAUUUUAUUUUUUUGGUAUCAAGAAACAUCACAAAGGAAGUUGGACCUGUAAGCAUGAUUUUAUUAUUUCCAUUUUUAUGAAAUCAAGUCCCUCUCUUGUUGAGCAUUGUUAUUAGUCAUUGUUUUAUUUAUUUAUUAUUUUUUUUACAUUACUCUGUGUUUCUAUUUACAAUAUGUAAAAUUGCAUCAUAUAAACGGGCAUGGGUUAUGAUUCAGGUAGAGCUAGAUGUGUAACAUUUGGUAGACAUUUAGAUGAUGUGGACUUUUGCUGCAAGCUAGCCAAAGAGGAAUUAAUGGUCAUUCUUCCAGGUGUGAUGAUAUGUGUGUGAAAUCCUAGUAAGAGGGAGCUGAAAAAUGAUUUCAAUUGAAGCAGAUCAGACAAUAGCUUUACAUAGAUAGUAUUCCAUAUGGGUUGGAUGGUGCUUAAUGCAUUGGCCAGUCUUUUAUGUAGGUCGGGUAUAUCUGCAGAGAUAUUAUGGGAUGGUGGUUGGCUUCUACGCUAACUUCUUCCACACAGAAAUGAG